GGAAUAGUCAACUGUUACUGCUUUGGGAAUAUAAGAUUUAAGGCACAGAGAAGACCUGACAUGGCUGACCCCAUGUACUGUCCAAAAGCAGAAGUGCUUCCCUGAACUAGUCUCCAAGCCAACAACCAGAGUUGAGUUUUAACAAUUAAAAUACAACCAAAUUCUACGGUAAA
Corapipo altera (White-ruffed manakin) is the source of this 173-nucleotide long non-coding RNA. RefSeq lists it as uncharacterized. The record is from RefSeq and is a predicted model, not a curated record. The transcript has 2 exons. Lineage: Eukaryota; Metazoa; Chordata; Aves; Passeriformes; Pipridae.